Molecule: transfer RNA, 72 nt
Filed under: Bos taurus (domestic cattle)
Lineage: Eukaryota; Metazoa; Chordata; Mammalia; Artiodactyla; Bovidae
Also listed under: 4 other names
Rfam family: tRNA
About the family: Transfer RNA (tRNA) molecules are approximately 80 nucleotides in length. Their secondary structure includes four short double-helical elements and three loops (D, anti-codon, and T loops).
Source: Rfam by way of RNAcentral
UUCCUAGUGGCUCAGACGGUAAAGCAUCUGCCUGCAAUGUGGAAGACCCGGGUUCGAUUCCUGGGUUGGGAA